CAGUAGCCGCGGUAAUACGAAGGGUGCAAGCGUUACUCGGAAUUACUGGGCGUAAAGCGUGCGUAGGUGGUGGUUUAAGUCCGUUGUGAAAGCCCUGGGCUCAACCUGGGAAUUGCAGUGGAUACUGGGUCACUAGAGUGUGGUAGAGGAUAGUGGAAUUUCCGGUGUAGCAGUGAAAUGCGUAGAGAUCGGAAGGAACAUCUGUGGCGAAAGCACUCUGCUGGGCCGACACUGACACUGAGAGACGAAAGCUAGGGGAGCAAAUGGGAUUAGAUACCCGUGUAGUCCCUGUCUCUUAUAC
This 301-nucleotide ribosomal RNA is filed under the name uncultured bacterium. RNAcentral's name for it is "partial 16S ribosomal RNA". It matches the Rfam family "Bacterial small subunit ribosomal RNA", at positions 509 to 807 of the family's 1533-position model. The record is from RNAcentral.